CACAAUGAAUAUUCUCAUGAAAUACUACAAGUGUGCAAAAUUUGAAAAAAAAUCGGAGGGAGUCUACCUGACUAUCCCCUGGUCAGUAUUUAGGACAAAAGAUCAAAGACAUUGUCAUAGAGCCUACGUUCUUCUAAAGUACGAGCAUCAAUGUCACGUAAAGCUUCCAUAACAUCUGCUCCAGUGCGAUGAGGAUGAACACAGUGUGCUUCGUGUUCUGGCCCUUCAUGGUUUGGACCUCGCCAUGGACAACCAAUCCUACUGUAUUUGCAACUUGAUAUCCUAAAAAAUAAAAAAAAAUAAAUGAUUAUUAUUUAA
Molecule: long non-coding RNA, 318 nt
Filed under: Polistes fuscatus (common paper wasp)
Lineage: Eukaryota; Metazoa; Arthropoda; Insecta; Hymenoptera; Vespidae
Description: uncharacterized LOC122521132
Source: RNAcentral